This is a long non-coding RNA of Eurytemora carolleeae, 231 nucleotides long. RefSeq lists it as uncharacterized. The transcript has 3 exons. The record is from RefSeq and is a predicted model, not a curated record. NCBI's taxonomy places the organism in Eukaryota, Metazoa, Arthropoda, Copepoda, Calanoida, Temoridae.
CAAACAUGUUUAGAGAUGCUAAUACUGGUUCACUCAGCUGGAGGAAAUAGGGCUCUAAGGGAUAGUUUAAGAUCUUCUUGGGCCAAACAAUCCCAUAAUACGAGGGAGACUUUGAGGACACUUACAGAAACUUGACGAUAAAACAUCUUCUGGGAUUCAGGUGGACGGAUGAAAGCUGUAGUGAUGUUAGAUAUGUACUUAAAACUGAUGAUGAUGCUUUUGUCGAUUUUC